UGCAGCCUUGUCAAAUUCGGUGUUUCCUCCUCAGUGGACGGCACUGGCCAAAAUGGCUGCAACAGUGAAUUUGUAGUCCAUGGGCCCCAUAUUCCUGUAUAGUGGGGUACUGGGGAUAGAAGGGCUAUGUACAAAU
This 136-nucleotide small nucleolar RNA is filed under the name Sinocyclocheilus rhinocerous. RNAcentral's name for it is "Small nucleolar RNA SNORA5 (ENSSRHG00000013727.1)". It matches the Rfam family "Small nucleolar RNA SNORA5". From Rfam's summary of the family: ACA5 is a member of the H/ACA class of snoRNA that guide the sites of modification of uridines to pseudouridines. Lineage: Eukaryota; Metazoa; Chordata; Actinopteri; Cypriniformes; Cyprinidae. The record is from Rfam by way of RNAcentral.